GGAAUGGAUCAUCAGCCGGUUGUUAAUGGAUUUGCUGAUGAAGAAGUAAUUUUACAGAAUGCUUCUAGAGAAAAUGGCAACAAGUGAUGAUUUAAGUUCUGACCUCAGGAUUCAUUCCCUGACAGAAAGGUAAGCUUCAACUUUUUGUGAGUGUCCGUCGACUGCAAAAGAUCGGUUUUUUGUUGAGCAUAGCAAACAGCCAUAAAGUGUUCGUAUUAGAAUUUCUUUUAGUUCCAAAUAACGAUAGGUGUGAGAAGACACUGCUACAAAUAAGCUGAUUAGCACGUGUCUGGAAUAAGAUUGUGGGUGGCUGUGCCUCGUGUGCCACUUUUUUGUUCUUACCGCAUUUUGACGUCAUCUGUGAUUUAUUAAUGAACAGACGCAUGGCAACUUGGAAUCUAUUUGUUAAUUAGAUACUCGUUUUAAGUAGUUGUGAAGAACAGCUCCCCUCUAACGAUUGUCACUCAACUGUCAACUGGUUUACUUGAAAGAUGUGUUUACUUUUAUGAAUGUAUAUUUUCAGACUUCUGAAGUACUGCAAUAAAAAUAAUGCUUGGGUUGGUGAGAAAAGAA
Molecule: long non-coding RNA, 573 nt
Organism: Pocillopora damicornis (cauliflower coral)
Lineage: Eukaryota; Metazoa; Cnidaria; Anthozoa; Scleractinia; Pocilloporidae
Source: RefSeq, a predicted model, not a curated record